GUCUAAGGCCAUGCUCCCCUGAACCAGCCUGAUCCUGUCUGAUCUUGGAAACUAAGCAGAGUCGGGCCUGGUUAGUACUUGGAUGGGAGACCACCUAGGAAGACCAGGUGCUGUAAGCG
Molecule: ribosomal RNA, 119 nt
Filed under: Pteropus alecto (black flying fox)
Lineage: Eukaryota; Metazoa; Chordata; Mammalia; Chiroptera; Pteropodidae
Source: RNAcentral